This 227-nucleotide unclassified non-coding RNA is filed under the name Hevea brasiliensis (rubber tree). The record is from RNAcentral. Lineage: Eukaryota; Viridiplantae; Streptophyta; Magnoliopsida; Malpighiales; Euphorbiaceae.
GAACUGCUUUAUCCUUUCAACUGACACCAUUCUAUUUUCUAAAAAGCAACUGAUCCAAAUUGUCCAAAACAACACAGCAUUGAGAGAAAGGCCAUAGGAAAGAGAGAGACCCACAUACUCUGGUUUGAUGAAAGUGCUUGGCAGCAUGAUCAUGAGAAGUGCUGAAAUACAGAGAACGAAACUCCCAAUGAGUUCUAACCGAAAUCCCAGCCACUCGUUAGCACCAU